GACGAACGCUGGCGGCGUGCUUAACACAUGCAAGUCGAACGAAGAGCGAUGGAAGCUUGCUUCUAUCAAUCUUAGUGGCGAACGGGUGAGUAACGCGUAAUCAACCUGCCCUUCAGAGGGGGACAACAGUUGGAAACGACUGCUAAUACCGCAUACGAUCUAAUCUCGGCAUCGAGGAAAGAUGAAAGGUGGCCUCUAUUUAUAAGCUAUCACUGAAGGAGGGGAUUGCGUCUGAUUAGCUAGUUGGAGGGGUAACGGCCCACCAAGGCGAUGAUCAGUAGCCGGUCUGAGAGGAUGAACGGCCACAUUGGGACUGAGACACGGCCCAGACUCCUACGGGAGGCAGCAGUGGGGAAUCUUCCGCAAUGGACGAAAGUCUGACGGAGCAACGCCGCGUGAGUGAUGACGGCCUUCGGGUUGUAAAGCUCUGUUAAUCGGGACGAAAGGCCUUCUUGCGAACAGUUAGAAGGAUUGACGGUACCGGAAGAGAAAGCCACGGCUAACUACGUG
This 510-nucleotide ribosomal RNA is filed under the name uncultured bacterium. RNAcentral describes it as "partial 16S ribosomal RNA". It matches the Rfam family "Bacterial small subunit ribosomal RNA", at positions 28 to 507 of the family's 1533-position model. The record is from RNAcentral.